AUCCAGCUGAUGAGUCUCAAAUAGGACGAAAUGCGCUACUUGGAU
RNAcentral lists this non-coding RNA (45 nucleotides) under Schistosoma margrebowiei. Lineage: Eukaryota; Metazoa; Platyhelminthes; Trematoda; Strigeidida; Schistosomatidae. The record is from RNAcentral.